UGGAAAGAUGAAUCAAAGAAGGUAAUAAUCCUGUAGUCGAAAAUGUUGUCUCUCUUGAGUGGAUCCUGAGUACGACGGAGCACGUGAAAUUCCGUCGGAAUCUGGGAGGACCAUCUCCUAAGGCUAAAUACUCUCUAGUGACCGAUAGUGAACCAGUACCGUGAGGGAAAGGUGAAAAGCACCCCGGAAGGGGAGUGAAAUAGAACCUGAAACCGUGUGCUUACAAGUAGUCAGAGCCCGUUAAUGGGUGAUGGCGUGCCUUUUGUAGAAUGAACCGGCGAGUUACGAUUUGAUGCAAGGUUAAGCAGUAAAUGUGGAGCCGUAGCGAAAGCGAGUCUGAAUAGGGCGUUUAGUAUUUGGUCGUAGACCCGAAACCAGGUGAUCUACCCUUGGUCAGGUUGAAGUUCAGGUAACACUGAAUGGAGGACCGAACCGACUUACGUUGAAAAGUGAGCGGAUGAACUGAGGGUAGCGGAGAAAUUCCAAUCGAACCUGGAGAUAGCUGGUUCUCUCCGAAAUAGCUUUAGGGCUAGCCUCAAGUGAUGAUUAUUGGAGGUAGAGCACUGUUUGGACGAGGGGCCCCUCUCGGGUUACCGAAUUCAGACAAACUCCGAAUGCCAAUUAAUUUAACUUGGGAGUCAGAACAUGGGUGAUAAGGUCCGUGUUCGAAAGGGAAACAGCCCAGACCACCAGCUAAGGUCCCAAAAUAUAUGUUAAGUGGAAAAGGAUGUGGCGUUGCCCAGACAACUAGGAUGUUGGCUUAGAAGCAGCCAUCAUUUAAAGAGUGCGUAAUAGCUCACUAGUCGAGUGACACUGCGCCGAAAAUGUACCGGGGCUAAACAUAUUACCGAAGCUGUGGAUUGUCCUUUGGACAAUGGUAGGAGAGCGUUCUAAGGGCGUUGAAGCAUGAUCGUAAGGACAUGUGGAGCGCUUAGAAGUGAGAAUGCCGGUGUGAGUAGCGAAAGACGGGUGAGAAUCCCGUCCACCGAUUGACUAAGGUUUCCAGAGGAAGGCUCGUCCGCUCUGGGUUAGUCGGGUCCUAAGCUGAGGCCGACAGGCGUAGGCGAUGGAUAACAGGUUGAUAUUCCUGUACCACCUAUAAUCGUUUUA
RNAcentral lists this ribosomal RNA (1110 nucleotides) under Staphylococcus aureus. Its description in RNAcentral is "partial 23S ribosomal RNA". It matches the Rfam family "Bacterial large subunit ribosomal RNA", at positions 343 to 1461 of the family's 2925-position model. The record is from RNAcentral. Lineage: Bacteria; Bacillati; Bacillota; Bacilli; Caryophanales; Staphylococcaceae.